This 333-nucleotide ribosomal RNA is filed under the name Triticum aestivum (bread wheat). Its description in RNAcentral is "partial small subunit ribosomal RNA". The record is from RNAcentral. Lineage: Eukaryota; Viridiplantae; Streptophyta; Magnoliopsida; Poales; Poaceae.
AUGUUCCGACCAGGUGAAAAUGGGCAAUUGGACGUUUAUACCCUUAGUUUAAAUUUUGAAUCAGGUCGCUGGAUCGUCUUCCACCUCCGCCACCGCCCCUGCCCUCCACCUCCGCCUCCGCCCCCGCCUCCACCUCCGCCUCCGCCUCCGUCCCCGCCCUCCACCUCCGCCUCGGCCCCCGCCUCCACCUCCACCCACGCCGUCCUGGGGCUCCUCCUGGACGGCGCGCGCCCAGGUGAUGCUCUGCUGCCGCCUGCUCGUGGAGGCGGGCUGGUGCUCUGCUGCUGUCCGCUGGUGGAGUCGAGCUGCUGCUCUGCUGCCGGCUGCUGGUGA